Aedes albopictus (Asian tiger mosquito) is the source of this 58-nucleotide non-coding RNA. The record is from Rfam. Lineage: Eukaryota; Metazoa; Arthropoda; Insecta; Diptera; Culicidae.
UAGCCUGGUGGAUAAGGCUACGGAUUGCCAAUCCGGAGACGGCGGGUUCGACUCCCGU